Aedes albopictus (Asian tiger mosquito) is the source of this 1841-nucleotide long non-coding RNA. RefSeq lists it as uncharacterized. Lineage: Eukaryota; Metazoa; Arthropoda; Insecta; Diptera; Culicidae. The transcript is spliced from 3 exons. The record is from RefSeq and is a predicted model, not a curated record.
CCGGAAAGAGCAUCAUCUUACCAUGAAGAUACUAAGUUCGACUUUGUUCACUUUGGUAUUGUUGGCAAGUACGAGCAAGUGCUUGGCACAUACACCAGCCGCACACAAGACUGUGAUCGUUCCGGGUGAUGGAGUUUUUCCCCUUUGGUGGUCUUCAGCCGCUUACAUAUGGGGAUUUAUUAAGCUUGGUUACAUCUUUGCUGGAUUGCUGGCGCUUUACGUCUACCGACAUUGGGCGUAUGAUUCGGAGCCAGAUUAUGGAAAUUAUUACGGAUAUAAACAAUAUGAUUCUUUGAAAGGUCGAUCGGUUGAUGUGAAUGUUGAUGAGAAAAUAAUGGGUUUCGGUUCAAAAUUUAAGUGAAUGUUGUGUUACGAAGUAUUGGUAAUGUUCAUAUCUUUAUCUGAUACCAUUUGAGCUGUGAUAAUUAUAGUACAUACAAACCCUAGCUGUAGUUGUGAAUGGAAUUGAACAAAAGAAAGUCUUAACUGAAAUUCGGAAGAAAAACUCAAAGGAAAUUAAAACAGGUUGAGGAACAGUAAAAGUCUUCAAUUCCACUGUAGUCUUGGCCCUUCAUACAAAUUUCGUAAUUUUCUAUGAUAUUCUCGCGGAGGAUUUUAAAAGUUUUUUUUUCCAAGAACCCCUUCUGAAAUUCCUAAAUAACUGAGAGUCCUGAAGGAAGUCCUCCCGGUAUUCCACCUGAGAUUCCUUACAGAAUUUUUCAAGGAAUCAUUUCUGGAAUUCCUUCAGAAAUCCUCUUAAGAUUCUCACAGGUUUUUCUUUACGGGUUCGUUCCAUUGCUUUUUCUGGUAUUUUAUAAAGAUAGUCUUUUGAGAUAUGUGAGGUUUCUGAGAUUCACUUAGGGAAUCCUUCCGAGAAUACUCCAAAAACUUUUUCCGGUAUUCCUGCAUGAACUUCAUCCCAGAUUCCUACAGAAACAGCUUCUGGAAUUCUUUCAGGAACUGCUUCCGGGAUUGCUUCCUUCCUUUCGGGAUUCCUUCGAGAAUUCCUACCGAUAUUUCUACGAGAACACCUUCCGGGAUUCCGACAACAACCUCUUUCGAGAUUCCAGGAACUUCUUUCGGAAUUCCUUCGGAUCUUCUUCCGGGAGCUCUUCUUCUAGGAUUCCUCCUGGAACUUGUUUUGAGAUUCUUUUCGUCUUCUUCCUCCUUAUUCAUAAACUCCUUCCUGGAUUCCUGUGAAAAUUGCUUCCCGAAUUCCAUUGGGAUCUCCUACCAGAAUGUCCUUCCGGGAUCCCUCCGAGAACUCUUUCCGGGAAUCACUCCAGGCUUCAUUUGGGACUUCUUCUGGGACUUCUUUGGGGUCUCCUUCCGGGAUUCUUACAAAAACUUCCGGAACCCUUCCAAGAACCUUCCAGGAGCUUCUUACGGAAUUGUUUCAAAAACCACUUUCAGAUAUUCUUUUCAGGAACUUCAUCCAGGAUUCUUCUACGGACACUUUUCUGAAUUCCCCAAGGAGUUUCUUCUGGGGUUCUAGCAAUUCCUCCAGAAGUCUGCAAUUCUUCCAGAUGUUCCGUUGUACAUUCAGGAAUUGAUUACGAAAUUCCUCCUGGACUUUUGUGGCAUUAUUCAUGAUAUUACUCAAGGAAUUCCUUAUAAUCUUCCUACAGGAGUGGACUCCUCCAACAUUUUUUUUUAGGAAUUUCUCCAUCAGUAUUGUAAAAAACUCCCCCUGGAGUUGCUUCCGGGCGCUGGGAAGCUGGGAAGGUGAAAUGGUUCUCGAGCUCAAGCGUGAUAAAACCAGCAAGGGCGCGGCUACACAUAUUUGACGGAAAAGGUCCUUGGUGAGGUUGUCGAGUGAGAGCUGUCACCGCUGAAGCGAC